AGGAUGGAGAGGAGUAUAUGAUAGAGAUUUGCAUUCAAACUUGGAGUUUAUUAGAAAUACAGAAUCUUGGUUGGGCGUGGUGGCACACACCUAUAAUUCCACAACUUUGGGAGGCCGGGGCGGGGGGGGCAGCUCACCUGAGGUCAGGAGUUCAAGACCAACCUGGCCAACAUGGUGAAACCCCAUCUCUACUAAAAAUACAAAAAAUUAGCUAGGCGUGGUGGUGGGUGCCUGUAAUCCCAUCUACUCGGGAGGCAGAGUCAGGAGACUCACUUCAACCCAGGAGGCAGAGGCUGCAGUGAGACAAGAUCACACCACUAUACUCCAGCCUGGGUGACAGAGCAAAACUUCAUCUCAAAAAAAAAAAAAAAAAAAAAAAGAAAAAAGAAAAGAAAAAAAGAAAUACAGGCCCCACCCUAGAGCUACUGAAUUGGGAUCUACAUUUUAACAAAAUGUCCAGGUAAUUCACGUACACAUUUAAGUUGAAAAACUGCUGAGGGGAUUUCAAAAAUAUUCUUCCUUCUGUUACAUAUUAUUCAUGCUUUUUAGUAGGGAAACAUUUAAACUGCAUCAGUUUUUCCCACUGAGAAAAACCAUGCUAUUCGUGAUACAAAGAGACAGGAAAGCUUUAUCCAGGGCCCUCAUCUAAUCACUACCAUCUAAUCACUAUCUCUCCCUCCACAUAGACUCAGCUUUGAAGUAGACCUUCCUCCCACUGCUGCUCCGUUUCUGCCCAUAUAAUGAAGGCUUACCACUUUCUGUAAGCUUUGUCUGCAUGACCUCAUCCAGCUGGGAGAUCACCCUGAGAGGCCAGCAAAUGACCAAUCCCAUCAUCCCUUCUGAGGUCAGCGCCCUGGGAAGAAAGGAAUUUAUGAUGGGAAAACUUCAGGUCCCAGAGAGGGAACUUCUCUACAUGAAAAAGACUACCAAGCAGAAUUCUUUGGCGACUCUCAAAGCACCAAAUAUCAGCGCUGCUUAUGGCCAGGCUACCUGUGAGUUAUUCUGUUGUUUCUUCAUUAAAUGACAUAAAUGAGAUAACUCUAAAAUAUUUAUAAU
RNAcentral lists this long non-coding RNA (1056 nucleotides) under Callithrix jacchus (white-tufted-ear marmoset). RNAcentral describes it as "lncRNA (ENSCJAG00000058530.2)". The record is from RNAcentral. Lineage: Eukaryota; Metazoa; Chordata; Mammalia; Primates; Cebidae.